GAUGAACGCUGGCGGCGUGCCUAAUACAUGCAAGUCGAGCGAACGGAUGAGAAGCUUGCUUCUCUGAUGUUAGCGGCGGACGGGUGAGUAACACGUGGAUAACCUACCUAUAAGACUGGGAUAACUUCGGGAAACCGGAGCUAAUACCGGAUGAUAUUUUGAACCGCAUGGUUCAAUAGUGAAAGACGGUCUUGCUGUCACUUAUAGAUGGAUCCGCGCUGCAUUAGCUAGUUGGUAAGGUAACGGCUUACCAAGGCAACGAUGCAUAGCCGACCUGAGAGGGUGAGCGGCCACACUGGAACUGAGACACGGUCCAGACUCCUACGGGGGGCAGGAGUAGGGAAUCUUCCGCAAUGGGCGAAAGCCUGACGGAGCAACGCCGCGUGGGUGAUGAAGGUCUUCGGAUCGUAAAACUCUGUUAUUAGGGAAGAACAUAUGUGUAAGUAACUGUGCACAUCUUGACGGUACCUAAUCAGAAAGCCACGGCUAACUACGUG
Molecule: ribosomal RNA, 497 nt
Filed under: uncultured bacterium
Lineage: Bacteria
Description: partial 16S ribosomal RNA
Rfam family: Bacterial small subunit ribosomal RNA
Source: RNAcentral